AGAGUUUGAUCAUGGCUCAGAACGAACGCUGGCGGCAUGCUUAACACAUGCAAGUCGAACGGAUUUAUGGAGCUUGCUUCAUAAGUUAGUGGCAGACGGGUGAGUAACGCGUGGGAAUGUACCUUUGGUUCGGAAUAACUGCGGGAAACUGCGGCUAAUACCGGAUAAGCCCGUGAGGGGAAAGAUUUAUCGCCAAGAGAGCAGCCCGCGUCUGAUUAGUUAGUUGGCGGGGUAAUGGCCCACCAAGACGAUGAUCAGUAGGGGCUCUGAGAGGAAGAUCCCCCACACUGGCACUGAGAUACGGGCCAGACUCCUACGGGAGGCAGCAGUAGGGAAUAUUGGUCAAUGGAUGCAAGUCUGAACCAGCCAUGCCGCGUGCAGGAAGAAGGCCUUCUGGGUUGUAAACUGCUUUUGCCAGGGGAUAAAAUUUCCAUGCGUGGAAAACUGAAGGUACCUGGUGAAUAAGCCACGGCUAACUACGUG
RNAcentral lists this ribosomal RNA (483 nucleotides) under uncultured bacterium. RNAcentral's name for it is "bacterial SSU rRNA". It matches the Rfam family "Bacterial small subunit ribosomal RNA", at positions 8 to 507 of the family's 1533-position model. The record is from RNAcentral.